This 401-nucleotide RNase P RNA is filed under the name Planctomycetaceae bacterium. Its description in RNAcentral is "RNase P RNA component class A". It matches the Rfam family "Bacterial RNase P class A". From Rfam's summary of the family: Ribonuclease P (RNase P) is a ubiquitous endoribonuclease, found in archaea, bacteria and eukarya as well as chloroplasts and mitochondria. Its best characterised activity is the generation of mature 5'-ends of tRNAs by cleaving the 5'-leader elements of precursor-tRNAs. Cellular RNase Ps are ribonucleoproteins. Lineage: Bacteria; Pseudomonadati; Planctomycetota; Planctomycetia; Planctomycetales; Planctomycetaceae. The record is from RNAcentral.
GGAGUGGACCAGGCGACCGCUCGUCGCGGUGACGUGACGGGAGGAAAGUCCGGGCUCCACAGGACGCAGUGGUGGGUAACGCCCACCAUCCGCAAGGAUCGGGACAGUGCCACAGAAAACAAACCGCCAGGCUGGUCGAGGCCGCGCAAGUGGAAUCGGCCAGCCGGGUAAGGGUGAAAAGGUGCGGUAAGAGCGCACCGCAGACCGGGUGACCGGUCUGGCACGGCAAACCCCACUGGGAGCAAGACCAAGCAGAAGGAAGCCGGCUCUUCGCAAGAAUCCGGCCCGGGUUUGUUCGACCCGGCACUACCUUCGGGUAGGUUGCUGGAGGCGGCGGGCAACCGUCGUCCUAGAGAAAUGGUCGCCCACGACAGAACCCGGCUUACCGGUCCGCUCCGAAU